This 253-nucleotide ribosomal RNA is filed under the name uncultured bacterium. Its description in RNAcentral is "partial 16S ribosomal RNA". It matches the Rfam family "Bacterial small subunit ribosomal RNA", at positions 524 to 776 of the family's 1533-position model. The record is from RNAcentral.
GACGAACCGAGCGAACGUUGUUCGGACUCACUGGGCUUAAAGGGCGCGUAGGCGGGCUUGCAAGUCUGUGGUGAAAUCCUCCAGCCCAGCUGGAGAACUGCCGUGGAUACUGCGAGUCUCGAGGGAGGUAGGGGCGUGCGGAACAGAUGGUGGAGCGGUGAAAUGCGUUGAUAUCAUCUGGAAGUCCGGUGGCGAAGGCGGCACGCUGGACCUCAUCUGACGCUGAGGCGCGAAAGCUAGGGGAGCAAACGGG